UGCAGGUUAAUUCAGUGGUCAGAAGGCCAGCCUCAUAAGCUGGAAGUCGGCAGUUCGAAUCUGCCACCUGCAACCA
This 76-nucleotide transfer RNA is filed under the name Ochrobactrum phage ORM_20. RNAcentral's name for it is "tRNA-Met(cat)". It matches the Rfam family "tRNA". From Rfam's summary of the family: Transfer RNA (tRNA) molecules are approximately 80 nucleotides in length. Their secondary structure includes four short double-helical elements and three loops (D, anti-codon, and T loops). The record is from RNAcentral.